AACGAACGCUGGCGGCAGGCCUAACACAUGCAAGUCGAGCGCGCCCUUCGGGGUGAGCGGCGGACGGGUUAGUAACGCGUGGGAACGUGCCCAGAUCUAAGGAAUAGCCACUGGAAACGGUGAGUAAUACCUUAUACGCCCUUCGGGGAAAGAUUUAUCGGAUUUGGAUCGGCCCGCGUUAGAUUAGAUAGUUGGUGGGGUAAUGGCCUACCAAGUCUACGAUCUAUAGCUGGUUUUAGAGGAUGAUCAGCAACACUGGGACUGAGACACGGCCCAGACUCCUACGGGAGGCAGCAGUGGGGAAUCUUGGACAAUGGGCGCAAGCCUGAUCCAGCCAUGCCGCGUGAGUGAUGAAGGCCUUAGGGUCGUAAAGCUCUUUCGCCUGUGAUGAUAAUGACAGUAGCAGGUAAAGAAACCCCCGG
This 422-nucleotide ribosomal RNA is filed under the name uncultured bacterium. RNAcentral describes it as "bacterial SSU rRNA". It matches the Rfam family "Bacterial small subunit ribosomal RNA", at positions 29 to 497 of the family's 1533-position model. The record is from RNAcentral.